This is a non-coding RNA of Pimephales promelas (fathead minnow), 325 nucleotides long. The record is from RefSeq and is a predicted model, not a curated record. NCBI's taxonomy places the organism in Eukaryota, Metazoa, Chordata, Actinopteri, Cypriniformes, Leuciscidae.
UAAGAAAUCCAAAAUGGCGGCCACGUGCAACUAGCAUAGAGGCAAAUAGCGGAGAUGUUCCACUGAUGAUUGACUGUGUUGCUACUGUUAUAUCUUUUUUGCAGAUCUCCUCCUUCAGUGAAGCUCCUCCCACUGCAGUUCACCAAUAAACGCUGGAAUAUUCCCCUCAGCUACAAGUGAAGACGAGCAUCAAACCAUCAGGAAGAGCUGACACAAACACAGAGUUUAUUGAAGGACACUGAGAACAUGAGAUCCAGAACACUGCAGAAUGAAACGUACUGAAGAACAAAGAGGUUCUGAGUGCCUGACAACUGUGAGGUGAGUG